This 878-nucleotide long non-coding RNA is filed under the name Nicotiana benthamiana. RNAcentral's name for it is "long non-coding RNA (NBEN_LNC042220)". Lineage: Eukaryota; Viridiplantae; Streptophyta; Magnoliopsida; Solanales; Solanaceae. The record is from RNAcentral.
AAGACACUAAGUGCAAAACUUUUAAGAUCUCAAAUAGGGAUCAGGAGAAGAGCAAAGGGCAGAAAUCAAUAUUGUAUUAUUCUUGAGCUAGUAUCUUAAGACAAGAGGGGUUGCUCUGAUGGUAUGCAACCCCCACUUACAACCGAGAGGUUGUGAGUUCGAGUCUCCCAAGAGCAAGGUGGUAAGUUCUUGGAGGGAAGGAUGUCGGGGUCUAUUUGGAAACAGCCUCUCUACCCAAGGUAGGGUUAAGGUGUGCGUACACACUACCCUCUCCAGACACCACUAAGUGAGAUUAUACUGGGUUGUUGUUGUUAUUGUAGUCGUCGUAUCUUCUUCGUGCAUUUUCGGAGGUAUGGACGUUGUUGUAUUGGAGAAAAAUAUUCACGGAAUAAAUAUAAUAUUUACACAAAUGAUGUAAGCAGGAAGGAUUAGAGCAGGGUCAGAAAGAGUCACCUUGGCGAGGUUCCAAGUAUUGGAGAGGGUGAGGGGACCGUGCUGCUGGAUAACAUGGUAAAGAGAUUCUGCAAUUUCAGCAGCUUCUUGGGGUGGUACCUUGGGGUUGAUCUUCCUAAGAUUUGGUGCCCUUUUCCGGGAGAAAUGCCUGAGAAAUACAGUUGCUACGCCAUUUCCAGCAUUCAGACCUCUGGGCCACAUGUCUCCUCAACUCUCACCUCUCUCUCUGCUACUUUCUAUUGCUAUUCCCUGCCGUAUUUACCUAGAGAAUCCUGCCUCUCCCUCUUCCUUGCUCCGAUCCCCUAGCUUCAAGGAAACAAAACCCUGCUUACGCCUUUUUCCUGGACUCCUCUUUUAACUUUGGGCCGAGUUAGGUCGCCUUCCACCCAAAAGCAGGAGUAACUUUUCGAGGCAGCAUUUGUAUU